This 513-nucleotide ribosomal RNA is filed under the name uncultured bacterium. Its description in RNAcentral is "partial 16S ribosomal RNA". It matches the Rfam family "Bacterial small subunit ribosomal RNA", at positions 28 to 523 of the family's 1533-position model. The record is from RNAcentral.
GAUGAACGCUGGCGGCGUGCCUAAUACAUGCAAGUCGAGCGAACAGACAAGGAGCUUGCUCCUUUGACGUUAGCGGCGGACGGGUGAGUAACACGUGGGUAACCUACCUAUAAGACUGGGAUAACUUCGGGAAACCGGAGCUAAUACUGGAUAAUAUUUCGAACCGCAUGGUUCGAUAGUGAAAGAUGGUUUUGCUAUCACUUAUAGAUGGACCCGCGCCGUAUUAGCUAGUUGGUAAGGUAACGGCUUACCAAGGCGACGAUACGUAGCCGACCUGAGAGGGUGAUCGGCCACACUGGAACUGAGACACGGUCCAGACUCCUACGGGAGGCAGCAGUAGGGAAUCUUCCGCAAUGGGCGAAAGCCUGACGGAGCAACGCCGCGUGAGUGAUGAAGGUCUUCGGAUCGUAAAACUCUGUUAUUAGGGAAGAACAUACGUGUAAGUAACUAUGCACGUCUUGACGGUACCUAAUCAGAAAGCCACGGCUAACUACGUGCCAGCCGCCGCAGUAA